AUAAGUGUUUGAGGUAUAAACUCACUCAAAGAAGAUGAACUUUCAAUUGGCAAGAAAUGACAAUGUAUCAAAUGAAAAGGGGUACAGGGGGCGUCGAAGGGAUAUCAUCCCAUUGAGACAUUGAAUCUCAAAUCGCGAGAGAAAGGAGGUGCAGUGGCUAGGGUUUCUAGUGAUGGAAUGAAGAACACGAGAGAUUAUUGGAGUCAUUUUUAUUUUUAUUUAUUUAUUGAUACAGUGAGAAUGAGGAUUUUAGAGGGGGGUAGAUGGUCAUUAUAAUUAGCGUAAUUAUUAUAGAAUCAAUAGGUUAGGUGAUUAAUGAAUUUGUUUAACAUUAGAGGUGGUGGGUCCUUUAAUAGCAAUAUGUGUAAAUAGUUGAAAAUUAUAAGGGUAAUAAAUAAUAAUUAAUCAAAAACUUACUAAAAAUAGGUUAUGACAUCUUUU
This 441-nucleotide long non-coding RNA is filed under the name Salvia miltiorrhiza (redroot sage). RNAcentral describes it as "long non-coding RNA (SMIL_LNC009024)". Lineage: Eukaryota; Viridiplantae; Streptophyta; Magnoliopsida; Lamiales; Lamiaceae. The record is from RNAcentral.